RNAcentral lists this ribosomal RNA (420 nucleotides) under Tetradesmus obliquus. Its description in RNAcentral is "SSU rRNA". It matches the Rfam family "Eukaryotic small subunit ribosomal RNA", at positions 617 to 1045 of the family's 1831-position model. Lineage: Eukaryota; Viridiplantae; Chlorophyta; Chlorophyceae; Sphaeropleales; Scenedesmaceae. The record is from RNAcentral.
AGUUAAAAAGCUCGUAGUUGGAUUUCGGGUGGGUUCUAGCGGUCCGCCUAUGGUGAGUACUGCUAUGGCCUUCCUUUCUGUCGGGGACGGGCUUCUGGGCUUCACUGUCCGGGACUCGGAGUCGACGUGGUUACUUUGAGUAAAUUAGAGUGUUCAAAGCAGGCUUACGCCAGAAUACUUUAGCAUGGAAUAACACGAUAGGACUCUGGCCUAUCUUGUUGGUCUGUAGGACCGGAGUAAUGAUUAAGAGGGACAGUCGGGGGCAUUCGUAUUUCAUUGUCAGAGGUGAAAUUCUUGGAUUUAUGAAAGACGAACUACUGCGAAAGCAUUUGCCAAGGAUGUUUUCAUUAAUCAAGAACGAAAGUUGGGGGCUCGAAGACGAUUAGAUACCGUCGUAGUCUCAACCAUAAACGAUGCCGA